This 966-nucleotide unclassified non-coding RNA is filed under the name Hevea brasiliensis (rubber tree). The record is from RNAcentral. Lineage: Eukaryota; Viridiplantae; Streptophyta; Magnoliopsida; Malpighiales; Euphorbiaceae.
AGAAGUAAUCAUUGCCUCAUCAAAAGACUGCACAAGUCUAGAAGACAAAUCUCUGUGCUGCUCUGGGUUGAGAUGCUUAAAACACAGAUUCUCCAGUUGCUCUUUCCAAGUGGAGAUUCCUAAACGGUUUGCCAAUGGAGCAAAUAUCUCCAAAGUCUCCUUAGCAAAUCUCUGUUGCUUGAUCAAAGGCAAUGCAUCUAAUGUCAUCAUGUUAUGCAAUCGAUCUGCCAAUUUUAUCAGGACAGCCCUGGCAUCUGCCAUGGCAAGGAACAUGGUAUGCAACCGAUCUGCUUCAACAGUCUUAUUUGCUGUGUUGUUAUCACGUGCAAGCUUACUCAAGUGACUAAGCUUAGAGACCCCUUCCACCAAAUCUGCUACCCCUGCUCCAAAUAGGCUAAAUAUAUAAUCAUAGCUUAAAAAGGAAUCAUCAAGAGUGUCAUGUAAAAGCCCCGCAGCAACCACUGUAGAGUUAGCCCCAAUCAUUGCGAGCAAAACUGCAGUCUCGACACAAUGCUGCAAAUAAGGAUCCCCACUUGCCCGCAUCUGUCCUCUGUGUGCUUUCUCAGCUUCAUAAAAAGCCUUGACAACAAAAUCUUCACAGAAGAUUUUAUGCCUCAUUUGUGCCCCUAACAACAAUUCUUUGGCAUAAGGCUCAUUAUUAGGAUCAACAAAAGUAUCCUCCAUAUUAAAUGUCAGUUCAUCCGCAGCAACAGAUGAAGAACCCACAUCUGUCCCAACACUUUGAAACUCAAAACUCGGCGAAUCAUAGUCAACACAGGAUCCCAGCGCAUGUCUCACAAACCCAUUAAAGAAUCCACUAGUCCCACUGCGAAAUGAACCAUGAAUUGAACUUUGGAAACCGAUAUCAGCGCUUCUUUCACGAGCAAUUCUCAUAGGAGGACUACUAGAACACGAGACUGGACCUUGCAACACCGAAAUUGGACUUUGAUCCCUCUUUAUAGAAGA